RNAcentral lists this ribosomal RNA (506 nucleotides) under uncultured bacterium. RNAcentral's name for it is "partial 16S ribosomal RNA". It matches the Rfam family "Bacterial small subunit ribosomal RNA", at positions 28 to 523 of the family's 1533-position model. The record is from RNAcentral.
GACGAACGCUAGCUACAGGCUUAACACAUGCAAGUCGAGGGGUAACGAGAGGAAAGCUUGCUUUCCUUGUCGACGACCGGCGCACGGGUGAGUAACGCGUAUCCAACCUGCCCCCAACUAAGGAAUAACCUUGCGAAAGUAAGACUAAUACCUUAUAAUUUCCUCAGAUGUCAUCUGACGAGGAAUAAAGAUUUAUCGGUUGUGGAUGGGGAUGCGCCUGAUUAGCUUGUUGGCGGGGUAACGGCCCACCAAGGCAACGAUAAGUAGGGGUUCUCAGAGGAGGGACCCCCACAUUGGAACUGUGACAGGGUCCAAACUCCUACGGGGGCCGGCAGUGAGGAAUAUUGGUCAAUGGGCGCAAGCCUGAACCAGCCAAGUAGCUUGAAGGAUGACGGCCCUAUGGGUUGUAAACUGCUUUUAUACAGUAAUAAAGUUAGCCACGUGUGGUUAUUUGUAGGUACUGUAUGAAUAAGGACCGGUUAAUUCCGUGCCAGCAGCCGCCGUAA